UACAGAGGUCUCAAGCGUUGUUCGGAUUCAUUGGGCGUAAAGGGUGCGUAGGCGGCGCGGUAAGUCGGGUGUGAAAUCUCGGAGCUUAACUCCGAAACUGCAUUCGAUACUGCCGUGCUUGAGGACUGGAGAGGAGACUGGAAUUUACGGUGUAGCGGUGAAAUGCGCAGAUAUCAGGAGGAACACCAAUGGCGAAGGCAGCUCGCUGGAACGGUACUGACGCUGAGGCGCGAAAGCGUGGGGAGCGAACAGG
This 253-nucleotide ribosomal RNA is filed under the name uncultured bacterium. RNAcentral describes it as "partial 16S ribosomal RNA". It matches the Rfam family "Bacterial small subunit ribosomal RNA", at positions 524 to 776 of the family's 1533-position model. The record is from RNAcentral.